AUGCCCCCUUAUCCAGGACUCCCUCACACGUACAAGCCUAAGUUGGUGUUCCUUUCUGAAACACGGCAGAGCAAUGCGUACAUCAAUAAGCUCAGAUGGAGGCUUGGCCUCAAACAUUGUAUCAUGUAGGCCGGUACAGUAAAAGGUGCUGGCAUUGCACUUUUCUAUGAUGAUAGUGUUGAGAUAAUAAAGCUCGCCGUUGGCCCGAGGUACAUCGAUGUGUUAGUUCAUUUGACACCUAAUGGUUUGAAGUGGCGGGGCACUUUUAUCUACGGAGAACCAAAAACUCAUGAAAGACACCUCAUGUGGGAACUAAUGAUUAGGAUAAAAGAUAACUCAAGUGCCCCAUGGUUGAUGGUUGGGGAUUUCAAUGAAACGAUGUGGCAAUCCGAACACCUAUUAGCCACGAGGAGAUCGGAGAGAAACAUGGAAAAUUUUAGAAGAGUCCUCUGUGACUGCAGCCUGUUCGAUAUUGGUUUCAAGGGACCAGCAUGGAUAUAUAACCAUAAAUAGGACGGAGGUCAGAACGUACGUGCGAGAUUGGAUAGAGGGGUUGCGUCUGCAACCUGGACAGAACAUUUUAGAGAAGCCAUAGUCGAACACAUCUGCUCGAGCCGGUCCGACCACCUGCCGGUCCUGAUC
Molecule: ribosomal RNA, 642 nt
Filed under: Triticum aestivum (bread wheat)
Lineage: Eukaryota; Viridiplantae; Streptophyta; Magnoliopsida; Poales; Poaceae
Description: partial small subunit ribosomal RNA
Source: RNAcentral